Molecule: ribosomal RNA, 160 nt
Filed under: uncultured bacterium
Lineage: Bacteria
Description: partial 16S ribosomal RNA
Rfam family: Bacterial small subunit ribosomal RNA
Source: RNAcentral
UGUGCGAGCCUGAUCCAGCCAUGCCGCGUGUGUGAAGAAGGUCUUCGGAUUGUAAAGCACUUUAAGUUGGGAGGAAGGGCAGUAAGUUAAUACCUUGCUGUUUUGACGUUACCAACAGAAUAAGCACCGGCUAACUUCGUGCCAGCAGCCGCGGUAAUGA